This 73-nucleotide transfer RNA is filed under the name Albugo candida. It matches the Rfam family "tRNA". Rfam says of the family: Transfer RNA (tRNA) molecules are approximately 80 nucleotides in length. Their secondary structure includes four short double-helical elements and three loops (D, anti-codon, and T loops). Further hydrogen bonds mediate the characteristic L-shaped molecular structure. tRNAs have two regions of fundamental functional importance: the anti-codon, which is responsible for specific mRNA codon recognition, and the 3' end, to which the tRNAs corresponding amino acid is attached (by aminoacyl-tRNA synthetases). tRNAs cope with the degeneracy of the genetic code in two manners: having more than one tRNA (with a specific anti-codon) for a particular amino acid; and 'wobble' base-pairing, i.e. permitting non-standard base-pairing at the 3rd anti-codon position. The record is from Rfam by way of RNAcentral. Lineage: Eukaryota; Oomycota; Peronosporomycetes; Albuginales; Albuginaceae.
GGGGGUAUAUUUUAAUUAGGUAGAAAAUAUGUUUUGCAAAUAUAUAGUAUAGGUUCAAAUCCUAUUAUCUCCA